ACAUGCCUACAACAUAGAGUUAAUGCACCAUAUCCCAUUAGAACUUCACAAUUAAGUUCACUUAGGAUAGAGUAUUACUAGGAUGGAUGACCACCUGAGAACUCCUAGUGUUUUACAUGCC
Picea glauca (white spruce) is the source of this 121-nucleotide non-coding RNA. NCBI's taxonomy places the organism in Eukaryota, Viridiplantae, Streptophyta, Pinopsida, Pinales, Pinaceae. The record is from Rfam.